ACCCCCGUGAGAAUGCCCUUAACCCUCGUUCAGGAUAAAGGAGCUGGUAUCAGGCACACCCUCUGUAGCCCAAGACACCUUGUUUAGCCACGUCCCCAAGGAAAACCAGCAGUGAUAAACAUUAAGCCAUUAGUGAAAACUUGACUUAGUUAAAGUUAAAAGGGCCGGUCAAACUCGUGCCAGCCACCGCGGUUAUACAAGAGACUCAAGUUGAUGACAAACGGCGUAAAGAGUGGUUAAGAAAGCCCCAAACUAAAGCCAAAUUUUCUCCUCGCUGUUAUACGCACCCGAGACAUAAGAAGUACUAUUACGAAAGUAGCUUUACAUAAUCUGACCCCACGAAAGCUAUGGUACAAACUGAGAUUAGAUACCUCACUAUGCAUAGCCAUAAACAAUAAUAGACCCUAAUAUUCCUAUUCGCCCGGGAAUUACGAGCCUCAGCUUAAAACCCAAAGGACUUGGCGGUGCUUAAAACCCACCUAGAGGAGCCUGUUCUAUAACCGAUAAUCCCCGUUAAACCUCACCCCUUCUUGCUUUUCCC
RNAcentral lists this ribosomal RNA (541 nucleotides) under Monopterus sp. sensu Tachihara, 2015. Its description in RNAcentral is "partial 12S rRNA". It matches the Rfam family "Bacterial small subunit ribosomal RNA", at positions 61 to 991 of the family's 1533-position model. Lineage: Eukaryota; Metazoa; Chordata; Actinopteri; Synbranchiformes; Synbranchidae. The record is from RNAcentral.